UACGUAGGGUGCGAGCGUUACUCGGAAUUACUGGGCGUAAAGCGUGCGCAGGCGGUUAUGUAAGACAGUUGUGAAAUCCCCGGGCUUAACCUGGGAAUUGCAUCUGUGACUGCAUAGCUAGAGUACGGUAGAGGGGGAUGGAAUUCCGCGUGUAGCAGUGAAAUGCGUAGAUAUGCGGAGGAACACCGAUGGCGAAGGCAAUCCCCUGGACCUGUACUGACGCUCAUGCACGAAAGCGUGGGGAGCAAACAGG
This 253-nucleotide ribosomal RNA is filed under the name uncultured bacterium. RNAcentral describes it as "partial 16S ribosomal RNA". It matches the Rfam family "Bacterial small subunit ribosomal RNA", at positions 524 to 776 of the family's 1533-position model. The record is from RNAcentral.